Molecule: ribosomal RNA, 253 nt
Filed under: uncultured bacterium
Lineage: Bacteria
Description: partial 16S ribosomal RNA
Rfam family: Bacterial small subunit ribosomal RNA
Source: RNAcentral
UACGUAGGGUGCAAGCGUUAAUCGGAAUUACUGGGCGUAAAGCGUGCGCAGGCGGCUUUGUAAGUCUGUCGUGAAAUCCCCGGGCUUAACCUGGGAAUUGCGAUGGAGACUGCAAGGCUGGAGUCUGGCAGAGGGGGGUAGAAUUCCACGUGUAGCAGUGAAAUGCGUAGAGAUGUGGAGGAACACCGAUGGCGAAGGCAGCCCCCUGGGUCAAGAUUGACGCUCAUGCACGAAAGCGUGGGGAGCAAACAGG